Pelobates cultripes (western spadefoot toad) is the source of this 352-nucleotide non-coding RNA. NCBI's taxonomy places the organism in Eukaryota, Metazoa, Chordata, Amphibia, Anura, Pelobatidae. The record is from the annotation of a GenBank genome assembly.
UCUCACUACUCAAUUCUCUGUGAAAUUAAUCAGUUAAAUCACUUUUUUUAUGCAGCCCAAGCCACACCUACCCUGGCUAUGACUCAUACAGCCUCUACGAAAAAAAAGGUUAAAAUUUUCCAGCACAGCUUUAGGCAGGGCCAUCUUUAAGGAGGGGCAGCUGCCACGGGCCCAGUUACUCCUGGGGGCCCUAAGGCAGCUGCCCCAUGGGCCCCCUGCAGCACCUGAGGUAAUCAGGGGCCACAGCCCUUUAAUAAUGCUCUGGACCGGGCCCUUGUAAUAUGGGGGUUGGCUGAAUACAAACACACAGCUAACCCCUCACACACUGCCCUGUGAUCCCUUUUCUUCUCCG